UUUUGAAAAUAAAGAGUAUAAAAACAUUCUUUAGAAAUUUGUGAAAUUUCAAUGAAAUAGGAAUUCUGAUUGGGGGGGGAAGUUUAGUAUUCAGUGUACAUAAAUAGCUUAGUUUUUUACAUUUGAAAUCAAUUAAUUGCCUGGCUCUGAUAAUUAGGGAUUUCCUGAAGUGGAAUCCAUUGCUCAUAAACCAGGAAUGUUAAAACCAGUCAAGCCAUUUGCUUUGCAAAAUGAUCUGUUUAUAGUAUAGCUGAAACAAGAUAAAUCACACAUGCAAAACAGCUGUCUGUUGGUAGUGAAGAAUAGUCUCUGUUCUACAUAUUAAGAAUACUCAUUAUAGAUAGUCAUUUGUGUGCCGGGGCAAUGAUCAUUCAGUAAUACAUAGACGUGAAAGCAGAACUUACUCGACUAGGCCUAGCCUCUUUGGAACUAUGUGUUCUGAGGCGCAGAGAGCAGGAUUUACUAGUACUGUGACAUUUGGAGCCAGGUAACUCUUUAUUAUGGAAGACUAUGCGUUGCAGGUUGUUUAGCAGAAUCCUAGCCUCUACCCACUAGAUACCAGUAAGAAUGCCCCACCGCAGUUGUGACAAUCAAAAAUAUUUCUAGAUAUUGCCAAAUGUCUUGUGGGAGGCAAAAUUGCCUCCGGUCAAGAACUACUGAUAUAGACUGAUGAUCUAAUAGUGCCUCGUGAUAUUAUGUGCCAACUUAUCGAAGCAAUAAUGACAUUCCUAUUGUAAUACAUGCAGGAUUUCUCAGGAUAAUCUUAGUUUCAGAUAUUCUGCCCCACUCACCCACCAGAUAUACCUUGGAAACCCACUUAUCCUGACAUUUUUCUAUUUGAAAAUAUGGUGACCGUCCCUAUGCAAUGUUUGUCUUGUUUAGGACUUAAAGUUGGAACACAUUGAUUGUGUCGCCAUUGGUUUUAGUCUUUAUGCAUCUUGCUUAAGCUAAUAGUUGAUGUAGCUCAUACUGCUUAAUGACAUUGAAUGUAAUUAUAUCCUAAGAGUGGUAUAAGUCUGCCACUAGCUUAAUUGAAGCAAAUUUCAUUUAAAGCUUUACUAAGCGGAGCAAUACGGGUUUUUUUUGGUCUGAUUUUUCUCAUAUUGGUAUUAAGGUAAAUUUUUUGGUGGUUUUCACAUGUAGCAUGACCAUUGAUUGUUCUAGUAAUGUGUCACAUCAUAUGUGGCUGGGAAGGGGUGGCCUUUUGGAGUCCUGAGGAGUAUUGUUCUACCUGUCUACCAGGAUACCUUUCCAGGUAAAUGCUGGUAUAUUGGCUAUAUUACCCGAGGGACGUUCAUUUACUUUUAGUGUGAAUUUCAUUUAUAAAAUAAGUUUGAUAUUACUCAUGUCUUUAAAACAAGUAUAAAAAAUUACCACUUUUCUUUUUGACUAACCUUUGCCCAAGAACUAUAAUGGUGGUAAGGAAGGUGAAGUCAUUUUUUGUACUUCUUACUAUUAAUAGAUCUUAUACCAAGUGCUCUAUGGAAACGUGUCUGUUUAACCUGUAAUAGUAGGGUCAGUUAUAGAAGGUGUCAGUAUUUGUCUUAAAAAUAUUUGUGGUAGAACAUAUAUAGUUUUCCAUAUCACUAUUCUAGGAGUUAUAUAUUAAUAAUUACUAGUCUAAUAAAAUACCAAAUUUUCAGCAUCAGGGAGACCAAUCAGGGAAAUAAUAUUCUACACAUAAUGCUGUAGAAUAAUUACCCAAGAAGAUAUUUUUCUGAUAUUAUAUAGCCUGGGAAUAGUUUUGCCAAAUUAUUCCUGAGUCUAUUUUAUAUUUAUCAUUUGUUAAAAAAAAAAAACACCAUAAUUUUCACGGACACAGUACCUUGAAAAAUAAUUGUGGCCCACAGUAUUUUGAAUGUUGGCUUUCUUAAACAUGAUUAUUUUAAGUUCAACCUAUUUAUUUUAUUCUGAGUCUGUGGAUAUGUAAUAAUUUGCUUUCAUUCCCCUCCACCACUUUGUUUUAUAGCGUUUGACUAUAGAAGAGGACCUAUAUAAAUGAAUGACAAAGCCUUUCUUAUUUUUGAGCCCUCAGUCCUUAUAAGCUCAUGGCCAUUGAGCAGAGUAAAUCCUAUUAUUGCUGUGUUUACAACAGUAUUUUCUAGAUUUUUAUUUGUGUGUACAAAAUAUCCCUUGUGUCUUGUAUGUUCAUGUGAUAUUUACUAACUUUGUCAUGAAAUUUUUAUUGUUUGAGAACAUGGAAAAUUAUAUGAAAGAAUUUUUGUUGUUACUGUUUUAUGUUUUGAGUUUGGGUCAAAAUUUCCAGCUUGAGAAAGUCUCAAUUUUGUGAAACUUGAAAAAAAGUGUUUAACUUUUAGUUCCAAAUGUCAUGAAAAUGAACCUGACUUCUCUUUUCCUCCCCACAUGCUUUCAUUUUUCUUUAGAGUGCUAAGGGAUCAAUCUUAACUUGCCCAACUGCAUAUGUAAGGAGAAAACUCUGGAGAACGCCCCAGCCAGACUUCAAAAAAUUAGGAAUAACACAAAAUGGCCCUCAAACUCUUAAACUUUAGAUUUUUAAUGUCGACAAAAUUCUCAUUAUUGCUUUUUGGCAGGGAAGUGAUUUAGAAGAAUGAAAUGAGAAUAUUUUUUACCCCUCUCCUCUUUUUAGCCUUAACUAAACUGGAGACAUGUAACUAUUUGUAGUGACUUUUCAUUUUACUAUGCAGUGACUGCACAGGCAUGACAUAUCCUAGCUACUGUUAUCAUGAUGUUAUUAUGCAUAAAAGUAUUAUUUCUAUUUUUAUGGACAAGUUGUUUUGUAUGGGCACACUCUGUUAAAAUGCACCAUUAUGUCAUUGUUUCAACAAACAGCCAUACGUAGCAGUUAUUGGCAAUUAGAUAAGGAAAAAUUUUAAGACAACCAUAUAAUGGUGUUUAUUUCGAGCUGUUUAUCCUAGUCGAUCAGCCUCAGAACCAGAAAGGAAAAUGCACAGUAUUGAUUUUAAUCUGUUAGAAUUUUCAGAUUUCAUUCAUGCAAACAUGGCUCCUGCCAUAAAAGUUGCUCCAACUGUUACAGUAUGAAUUAUUCUAGAAAGGAGUUUUCUUGCUCCUUGUCACCUGGCCCUGGUGGUGGCAGGCUGAGCACGAGGACCAUACUGGGCCGGACCCUCCGAGAAGUUUCUGCAGCAUUGAAACAAGGCCAGAUUAUACCAGUAGAGCUCUGUCAAAAAUGUCUUUCUGUUAUCAAGAAGACCAAAUUUCUAAAUGCCUACAUUACUGUAACAGAAGAGGUGGCCUUAAAACAAGCUGAAGAAUCAGAAUAAAGAUAUAAGAAUGGUCAGUCCCUUGGGGAUUUAGAUGGAAUUCCUAUUGCAGUAAAAGAUAACUUUAGCACGUCUGGCAUUGAGACAACAUGCGCAUCAAAUAUGCUGAAAGGUUAUGUACCACCUUAUAAUGCUACAGUAGUUCCGAAGUUGUUGGAUCAGGGAGCUCUACAAAUGGGGAAGACAAAUUUAGAUGAGUUUGCUAUGGCCUCUGGAACCACAGAUGGUGUAUUUGGACCAGUAAAAAACCCCUGGAGUUAUUGAAAACAAUAAAGAGAAAAGAGGAAGCAGGAGCCACAUGGUGAGAAGGAAGAUUCAAAUUGGCUAAUAACUGGAGGAAGCUCAGGUGGGAGUGCAGCUGCCACCUCAGCAUUCACGUGCUUUGCGGCUUUAGGAUCAGAUACAGGAGGAUGGACCAGAAAUCCUGCUGCCCAUUGUGGACUUGUUGGUGUCAAACCAAGCUAUGGCUUAGUUUCUCGUCAUGGUCUCAUUCCUCUGGUGAAUUCAAUGGACGUGCCAGGAAUCUUAACCAGCUAUGUGGAUGAUGCAGCAGUUGUGUUGGGUAUACUGACUGGACAUGACCCCUAAGAGUCUACCACAGUCCAAGAUCCUGUUAAACCAUUCAUGCUUCCCAGUUUGACAGAUGUGAGCAAACUAUGUAUAGGAAUUCCAAAGGAAUAUCUUGUACCAGAAUUAUCAAGUGAAGUACGAUCUCCUUGGUCCAAAGCCGCUGACCUCUUUGAGUCUGAGGGAGCCAAAGUAAUUGAUGUGUCCCUUCCCCACACAAGUUAUUCCAUUGUCUGCUACCGCGUAUUGUGCACAUCAGAAGUGGCAUCGAAUAUGGCAAGAUGUGAUGGGCUAGAAUAUGGUCACAGAUGUGAAAUUGAUGUGUCUACUGAAGCCAUGUAUGCUGCAACUAGACGAGAAGGGUUCAAUGAUGUGGUGAGAGGAAGAAUUCUCUCAGGAAAUUUUUUCUUAUUAAAAGAAAACUAUGAGAAUUAUUUCAUCAAAGCCCAGAAAGUGAGACGCCUCGUUGCUAAUGACUUUAUGAAUGUUUUUAACUCUGGAGUAGAUGUCUUGCUAACUCCCACCACCUUGAGUGAGGCACUACCCUACUUGGAGUUCAUCAAAGAAGACAACAGAACACGAAGUGCCCAGGACGAUAUUUUCACACAGGCAGUAAAUAUGGCAGGAUUACCAGCAGUGAGUAUCCCUGUAGCACUCUUAAACCAAGGGCUACCAAUAGGACUGCAGUUUAUUGGGCGUGCAUUUUGUGACCAGCAGCUUCUUACAAUUGCCAAGUGGUUUGAAAAACAAGUACAGGUUCCUGUUGCUCAACUUCAAGAACACGUGGAUGAUUGUUCAUCAGUCCUUGAAAAUGAAAAGUUAGCUUCUAUUUCUCUAAAACAAUAGAGAUAAAUGUAUCAUGCAAAUUAAAAUGACGUUUAGAAAUUCUGUUCUCUAGAGAGUCAAAUGAUCUUGCUCAAUUCUUGUAAUUAGGUUCAUUCUCAAUACAGUCUUUCCUUGGAAUCACAAAAAAAAAAAAAGAAAAGAGUUUUCUUGGUUCUAUAAAGAUAGAGCUGACUCGUCUUCUUCUGUUCCCCAGAGUACUCUAAAAAUGAGCUAGUUUAUGGCUUUUAAUAAAAUUAUUUAUACUUUAUGCCAAAUAUAAUAAAGCAAAAUAGUCCCAAGAAAUAUUUCUUCUAGAAUCUCUGUAUGAUCAGAAAAUCUGAAAAUUGUUUUCUCCAUGUCGUGUCUAAGGCAAUAGGUGUGUGUGUGUGUGUGUGUGUGUGUGUGUGUGUCGUAGUAUUGUGAGUACUUUGAAGGGCAGGGACUCCUCUUUGUCUAGUCCACAAAGCUGCACACAUAACAGGUACAUAGCAGGUGCUCAAUAAAAUUGGAGACAUCAACUUUUGUUAAAAUACUUAAUGUAGAUUUAUUUUCUCUCCAGACCACUUCCGCUCAUAUUUUAUCUUAGAAGUCCAGUUAUUGCUCUCUUGGUGAGCUGAGAAGGAGCUCGAAAUGAACAGCUGCUGUUUCUCCCCCAAUGGAUAUGUGGCUGAGUUCUACAGAUAAUUUUAAAAAAAUUCCUAGUAUUGGUUUGGGGGUUGGAGCUGGGGUUGUAUCAGUGUCAGAGAAAGGACUUGUUUGCCAGACUUAAAUUUUCUCACCAGGGCUUCUCCAUUUGUCAAAAAGGACUUCCUUAGUCUGGCUUGUCCUCCUGAAUUGAAUCUUUCAUGAACCAGCUCAAUUCUGUAAGUGCAUCUAAUUUUUUUAUAAGUAUAAAAGGGAACAAUUAUUUGCAUUUGAGUGAGUAUGAAUAGCAAAAAGAUUUCCUUUUCUGGGUAGCGAAAAGCCAGGAAAUAGAUAAAGAAAUUACUUUCAGUGUUUCUUGAAGGAUAGCUCAACAAAUAUCAAAUGCUGUUAGAAAACCUAUGAAAAUAUUGACUUCACGGUGCCUAAUUUCUUUCUGUGUAGUGGAUCUACACCAGAUAUGAGGCAAUUUCCAUUUAAAUAAAUGCCCCUAAAGCCUUCAAAGUAUUUAUAGAGUGUUUGCUUUGUGCACUGCAUGAUAACACCAUGAAUUACUCUUUGCUUUUCUAGUCAAUUUAGCUAUAAGAUUAAAAACAAAAUUAUUUUAUUUUCCCAAGACAAAAAUUAAUUGCAAAUGUCUUAUAAUACCAGUUAAUAGACUGUUGUUUUUAUUAGUCUAUAAAUACUAUACUUCCAUUUUUCACCUGAGUGCCAUUUUCACAUAAAUUAAAUCCUAAAGAAUAAAGAGGAAUUGGCAUCCAAUUAAAUUGGAGCUUAUUUUAUUAUAUACCCUCCUCCCAGAAUCUCCUUCAUCCCCCUCCCCAGUUUUAUAUAGGGGAUUAUAUUCUUUCAAAACAUAAAUAUGCCAGAAAAGUUAUGUGUUUGUUUUUUUUUAAGCCCAACAAACCAUCCUACAUUAUUCUAGUUUCUGUUUAAAUAAUCCCUAUAGCCCUAUUUGAAAAUGCAAGAAACUGUUUAGGUAAAAAUUAUAACUAGUGGAAUGCCAAGGCAAAAUUUAUUAUAUUUAACAGAUAACUUUUAUGAUGAAUUUAUAAUAAUACUAAUAUAUUGGGGGCUCUUAACUGUGGCCAGGAACUGUGUUAGACAUUUAAGUGCAUUUUCUUUUGUAAUACAACAGCCCUAUAAAGAAAAUAUUAUUCUUCCCAUUUUAAAGUGACAAAAUUUGCCUUAAGUUAUGAGACUCAUGUCUGUCCACUCCAAAGCCAUGCUUUUAUUUUUUUUAAUAUUUAUUUUUUAUUUUUUUUGAGACAGAGUCUCAGUUGUUGCCCAG
Microcebus murinus (gray mouse lemur) is the source of this 6588-nucleotide non-coding RNA. The record is from RefSeq and is a predicted model, not a curated record. NCBI's taxonomy places the organism in Eukaryota, Metazoa, Chordata, Mammalia, Primates, Cheirogaleidae.